Eriocheir sinensis (Chinese mitten crab) is the source of this 602-nucleotide long non-coding RNA. RefSeq lists it as uncharacterized. The transcript is spliced from 3 exons. The record is from RefSeq and is a predicted model, not a curated record. Lineage: Eukaryota; Metazoa; Arthropoda; Malacostraca; Decapoda; Varunidae.
CCCAGUUACUGUUACUUUCCUUCACAGCAGUGGUUGCCAACACACCCAGUCACUGUUCCUUUCCUUCACAGCAGUGGUUGCCAACACACCCAGUUACUGUUCCUUUCCUUCACAGCAGUGGUUGCCAACACACCCAGUUACUGUUCCUUUCCUUCACAGCAGUGGUUGCUAACACACCCAGUUACUGUUCCUUUCCUUCACAGCAGUGGUUGCUAACACACCCAGUUACUGUUCCUUUCCUUCACAGCAGUGGUUGCUAACACACCCAGUUACUGUUCCUUUCCUUCACAGCAGUGGUUGCCAACACACCCAGUUACUGUUCCUUUCCUUCACAGCAGUGGUUGCUAACACACCCAGUUACUGUUCCUUUCCUUCACAGCAGUGGUUGCUAACACACCCAGUUACUGUUCCUUUCCUUCACAGCAGUGGUUGCUAACACACCCAGUUACUGUUCCUUUCCUUCACAGCAGUGGUUGCCAACACACCCAGUUACUGUUCCUUUCCUUCACAGCAGUGGUUGCUAACACACCCAGUUACUGUUCCUUUCCUUCACAGCAGUGGUUGCUAACACACCCAGUUACUGUUCCUUUCCUUCACAGCAG